UACGGAGGGUGCAAGCGUUGCUCGGAAUUAUUGGGCGUAAAGGGGAGGUAGGUGGUCUCGUUUGUCCGAGGUGAAAUCCCUAGGCUUAACCUAGGACGUGCCUUGGAAACGGCGAGACUAGAGUACUGGAGAGGUUUGCGGAAUACCCGGUGUAGCGGUGAAAUGCGUAGAUAUUGGGAGGAACACCAGUGGCGAAGGCGGCUCGCUGGACCGGUUCUGACGCUGAGGCGCGAAAGCGUGGGGAGCAAACGGG
RNAcentral lists this ribosomal RNA (253 nucleotides) under uncultured bacterium. RNAcentral's name for it is "partial 16S ribosomal RNA". It matches the Rfam family "Bacterial small subunit ribosomal RNA", at positions 524 to 776 of the family's 1533-position model. The record is from RNAcentral.